CGGAAUAUGGUAUACCGGUGAGAUUUAUUUAAGGAUUUUUACCUUCUCAUGGUGAGUAAUUAUUGCAGGAAUUUUAGCACCACUGUAUACCAUAUCCCAACUAAUUUAACCCGGCACAACUUAUUUCAGCCCCCAAACGCCGCUCCCAUUUAUUUUCUCCAGCCGCUCCCUCUCCCUCCCUCUCCCUCCCUCUCCUACUCCCUGGCCGAUAACUUCGUCGAGGAGAGUUCGAGGCCCGCCAUUUCCCGAUCUCAACGAAACUCAUACGCCCAGUCGACCUUCGUUGCACGCCGAGAUCGCAGGUAACGAUUGAUUCCCGCGAUCGCCUCCCAAUCCUCAUCUUUUUCCAUGCGUUUUUCAAGCACGGGCUGAUGUUCAUGUGAUUCACCAUCGGCUUUGGAUUUCCCGAGAUCUCUCGAUUCCGACAGUUCUGCUUCUGUUGAUCGAUUGAUGUAUUGGUCUGGGGCCGUCUUAUGUUUCUUUAUGGAUUCAUUUUUCAUCUGGGUGAGGGUAAUAGAUCUAGGGUUUGGCGAUUUCGUUUCCUUAUGUUUCUUG
RNAcentral lists this long non-coding RNA (555 nucleotides) under Phoenix dactylifera (date palm). RNAcentral's name for it is "long non-coding RNA (PDAC_LNC003288)". Lineage: Eukaryota; Viridiplantae; Streptophyta; Magnoliopsida; Arecales; Arecaceae. The record is from RNAcentral.